Small nucleolar RNA from Hucho hucho (huchen), 127 nucleotides. Its record names the gene SNORA63. It matches the Rfam family "Small nucleolar RNA SNORA63". From Rfam's summary of the family: E3 belongs to the H/ACA class of snoRNAs and is involved in the processing of eukaryotic pre-rRNA and has regions of complementarity to 18S rRNA. NCBI's taxonomy places the organism in Eukaryota, Metazoa, Chordata, Actinopteri, Salmoniformes, Salmonidae. The record is from Ensembl.
AAGCAGGAUAAGUUACAGUACAGCUUGUUCAGUGCUGUUGUCGUUCCCCCUGCACACAGAAACACGUCUUCUCCUAUCCCUGUCUGUCAGCAUCCCACAGCAGGCAGGGAUGCUUGGUCUCAGACAC